Molecule: transfer RNA, 73 nt
Filed under: Ipomoea nil (Japanese morning glory)
Lineage: Eukaryota; Viridiplantae; Streptophyta; Magnoliopsida; Solanales; Convolvulaceae
Rfam family: tRNA
About the family: Transfer RNA (tRNA) molecules are approximately 80 nucleotides in length. Their secondary structure includes four short double-helical elements and three loops (D, anti-codon, and T loops). Further hydrogen bonds mediate the characteristic L-shaped molecular structure. tRNAs have two regions of fundamental functional importance: the anti-codon, which is responsible for specific mRNA codon recognition, and the 3' end, to which the tRNAs corresponding amino acid is attached (by aminoacyl-tRNA synthetases). tRNAs cope with the degeneracy of the genetic code in two manners: having more than one tRNA (with a specific anti-codon) for a particular amino acid; and 'wobble' base-pairing, i.e. permitting non-standard base-pairing at the 3rd anti-codon position.
Source: Rfam by way of RNAcentral
GGGGAUAUAGCUUAGAUGGUAAAGUGCUUGCUUCGCAUGCAAGAGGUACGGAGAUUGAUACACUACAUCUCCC